AGUGAACGCUGGCGGUAGGCCUAACACAUGCAAGUCGAACGGCAGCACAGUAAGAGCUUGCUCUUACGGGUGCCCAGUGGCGUACGGGUGAUGUAUACUUCGCCAUCUACUUUUUCGUCGGUGCUAACGUAGGUUAACUUCCGCUUAUACCUCAUACGACCUUCCGCUGUAAGCAGAGGAUCUUCCGACCUUGCGUGUUUGUUUGUGCCGAUGUCGGAUUAGCUAGUUGGCGGGGUAAAGGCCCACCAAGGCGAGGAUCCGUAGCUGGUCUGAGAGGAUGAGCAGCCACACUGGAACUGAGACACGGUCCAGACUACUACGGGAGGGAGCAGUGGGGAAUAUUGGACAAGGGGCGCAAGCCUGAUCCAGCCAUACCGCGUGGGUGAAGAAGGGCUUCGGGUUGUAAAGGCAAUUUGUUGGGAAAGAAAAGCAGCAGGUUAAAACAGCGGUGUGCUGACGGUACCAAAAGAAUAAGCACCGGCUAACUUCGUG
This 492-nucleotide ribosomal RNA is filed under the name uncultured bacterium. RNAcentral describes it as "partial 16S ribosomal RNA". It matches the Rfam family "Bacterial small subunit ribosomal RNA", at positions 29 to 507 of the family's 1533-position model. The record is from RNAcentral.